AAUAAAUUCAUUUUUCGUUUUUCCGUGUCCAAAGUUUAACCAUUCGUCUUAUUUGAAAAAUUUGUAUAAAAACUUUUAAAAAAAUAGUCACGUAUAAAGUAUAUUCAUAUUUUAUCAUCUAGUAACAAUAAAAAUAUUAAUUGUAAAAAAUUUCAAAUAAGACGAAUGGUCAAACGUUUGAUACGGAAAAACA
This is a non-coding RNA of Oryza brachyantha (malo sina), 193 nucleotides long. The record is from Rfam. NCBI's taxonomy places the organism in Eukaryota, Viridiplantae, Streptophyta, Magnoliopsida, Poales, Poaceae.